Molecule: long non-coding RNA, 873 nt
Organism: Tyto alba (common barn owl)
Lineage: Eukaryota; Metazoa; Chordata; Aves; Strigiformes; Tytonidae
Exons: 3
Source: RefSeq, a predicted model, not a curated record
CAUACUACAAUUCACCAAGACGGCUGGAUUUACUUCAGCGGGAGCAAGAGCAAACUCAAGACCACUGGAGAGGUGAAUGAAUCAAUCACCAGAAGACUUUGGAGAUGAGAUUUGAUUGCCUGGGGAUUCUUCAGGGAUGGGAUCUGCGAGAAAUCCCUGACAUGCUGGGACGACACAUGUGCUGAAAAGAGAUUGGUCUGGUUCAUUAGAACCAGAUGUAAAAAUGCUGCCUCCAGCUAACGCCAUCCCCUGCAAACUGCCUUCUGUGAGCACCUUUCCUCCCUGCUGCCCAUCUCCUACCAGCCCUGUGAUCUCUGCCCGACUGGUUUGAUUCUCUUGGUGAGACCCCUGCACCUUCACCUAGAUUCCUCCCUGGACUGCUGCGGUGAAUGGAUCUGACCGCCGAGGGAAUCUGGCCCACUGAAUUCCUUUUCUUUCUGUGCAGCUGAAUGAAAAGCAUGUCCUUUGAAGACCAGUGACUGAAAGAAAUAUUGAAGACUGCCAGGGCAUCUACAGAAAAGGAUAAGAAAAUUACUCUACUACAACAGGGAAGACAAAGGGGCUUUGUUAACUCUUUCUUGUAGGUUGUAUAUAUUAAUAGUAACAACUAAAGUUUUGUAUUUUUUCAGAGAAACACACAAGGCUUUGAAUUGUAUUGUUUUAAUUGCAGCUAACUGAAUGAAUUAAGUGGAAAAUCGCACACAGUACUUUGAUUGUCUAACUCUCUGUAUGUGAGGCUUUGGGAACAGUUUGUUAUUAUAAAAGAACAGCAUUAACAAGAAAUCAGCCAACAUAUAAUUGCUAGGCUGAGGGGCAGUUUGGGGAAAGCUGAUAUUUAUUUAUAAAUUAUUAAAUAAAAGCACAUAAUAUGUG